GACAGAGGGUGCAAACGUUGUCCGGAAUUACUGGGCGUAAAGAGCUCGUAGGUGGUUUGUCGCGUUGUUCGUGAAAACUCACAGCUUAACUGUGGGCGUGCGGGCGAUACGGGCAGACUGGAGUACUGCAGGGGAGACUGGAAUUCCUGGUGUAGCGGUGGAAUGCGCAGAUAUCAGGAGGAACACCGGUGGCGAAGGCGGGUCUCUGGGCAGUAACUGACGCUGAGGAGCGAAAGCGUGGGGAGCGAACAGG
Molecule: ribosomal RNA, 253 nt
Filed under: uncultured bacterium
Lineage: Bacteria
Description: partial 16S ribosomal RNA
Rfam family: Bacterial small subunit ribosomal RNA
Source: RNAcentral